RNAcentral lists this ribosomal RNA (253 nucleotides) under uncultured bacterium. Its description in RNAcentral is "partial 16S ribosomal RNA". It matches the Rfam family "Bacterial small subunit ribosomal RNA", at positions 524 to 776 of the family's 1533-position model. The record is from RNAcentral.
UACGAAGGGGGCUAGCGUUGCUCGGAAUGACUGGGCGUAAAGAGCUCGUAGGCGGUUUGUCGCGUCUGCUGUGAAAACCUAAGGCUCAACCUUGGGCUUGCAGUGGAUACGGGCAGGCUAGAGUGUGGUAGGGGAGAUCGGAAUUCCUGGUGUAGCGGUGAAAUGCGCAGAUAUCAGGAGGAACACCGGUGGCGAAGGCGGAUCUCUGGGCCAUUACUGACGCUGAGGAGCGAAAGCGUGGGGAGCGAACAGG